CAGUCGCCACGGUAAUACGUAGGUGGCAAGCGUUGUCCGGAAUUAUUGGGCGUAAAGCGCGCGCAGGCGGAUCAGUCAGUCUGUCUUAAAAGUUCGGGGCUUAACCCCGUGAUGGGAUGGAAACUGCUGAUCUAGAGUAUCGGAGAGGAAAGUGGAAUUCCUAGUGUAGCGGUGAAAUGCGUAGAUAUAUGGAGGAACACCAGUGGCGAAGGCGACUCUCUGGUCUGUAACUGACGCUGAAGCGCGAAAGCGUGGGGAGCAAACAGGAUUAGAGACCCCGGUAGUCCCUGUCUCUUAUACC
RNAcentral lists this ribosomal RNA (301 nucleotides) under uncultured bacterium. RNAcentral describes it as "partial 16S ribosomal RNA". It matches the Rfam family "Bacterial small subunit ribosomal RNA", at positions 509 to 808 of the family's 1533-position model. The record is from RNAcentral.